RNAcentral lists this ribosomal RNA (241 nucleotides) under Salmonella enterica subsp. enterica serovar Muenchen. Its description in RNAcentral is "partial 23S ribosomal RNA". It matches the Rfam family "Bacterial large subunit ribosomal RNA", at positions 2702 to 2925 of the family's 2925-position model. RNAcentral also lists the same sequence under 4 other names. The record is from RNAcentral. Lineage: Bacteria; Pseudomonadati; Pseudomonadota; Gammaproteobacteria; Enterobacterales; Enterobacteriaceae.
CGCAUCACUGGUGUUCGGGUUGUCAUGCCAAUGGCACUGCCCGGUAGCUAAAUGCGGAAGAGAUAAGUGCUGAAAGCAUCUAAGCACGAAACUUGCCCCGAGAUGAGUUCUCCCUGAGACUUAGAGUCUCCUGAAGGAACGUUGAAGACGACGACGUUGAUAGGCCGGGUGUGUAAGCGCAGCGAUGCGUUGAGCUAACCGGUACUAAUGAACCGUGAGGCUUAACCUUACAACGCCGAAG